GGGCGGAUUAGUGGCGAACGGGUGAGUAACACGUGAGUAACCUGCCCUUGACUCUGGGAUAAGCCCGGGAAACUGGGUCUAAUACCGGAUAGGAGCGCCUGUCGCAUGACGGGUGCUGGAAAGAUUUUUCGGUCAUGGAUGGACUCGCGGCCUAUCAGCUUGUUGGUGAGGUAAUGGCUCACCAAGGCGACGACGGGUAGCCGGCCUGAGAGGGUGACCGGCCACACUGGGACUGAGACACGGCCCAGACUCCUACGGGAGGCAGCAGUGGGGAAUAUUGCACAAUGGGCGGAAGCCUGAUGCAGCGACGCCGCGUGAGGGAUGACGGCCUUCGGGUUGUAAACCUCUUUCAGUAGGGAAGAAGCGAAAGUGACGGUACCUGCAGAAGAAGCACCGGCUAACUACGUGCCAGCAGCCGCGGUAAUACGUAGGGUGCGAGCGUUAUCCGGAAUUAUUGGGCGUAAAGAGCUCGUAGGCGGUUUGUCGCGUCUGUCGUGAAAGUCCGGGGCUUAACCCCGGAUCUGCGGUGGGUACGGGCAGACUAGAGUGCAGUAGGGGAGACUGGAAUUCCUGGUGUAGCGGUGGAAUGCGCAGAUAUC
This 599-nucleotide ribosomal RNA is filed under the name Micrococcus flavus. RNAcentral's name for it is "bacterial SSU rRNA". It matches the Rfam family "Bacterial small subunit ribosomal RNA", at positions 85 to 698 of the family's 1533-position model. Lineage: Bacteria; Bacillati; Actinomycetota; Actinomycetes; Micrococcales; Micrococcaceae. The record is from RNAcentral.